Molecule: ribosomal RNA, 485 nt
Filed under: uncultured bacterium
Lineage: Bacteria
Description: bacterial SSU rRNA
Rfam family: Bacterial small subunit ribosomal RNA
Source: RNAcentral
GGCUCAGAUUGAACGCUGGCGGCAUGCCUUACACAUGCAAGUCGAACGGCAGCACGGGAGCAAUCCUGGUGGCGAGUGGCGAACGGGUGAGUAAUAUAUCGGAACGUGCCCAGUCGUGGGGGAUAACGUAGAGAAAUUUACGCUAAUACCGCAUACGAUCUAAGGAUGAAAGCGGGGGACCGUAAGGCCUCGCGCGAUUGGAGCGGCUGAUAUCAGAUUAGGUUGUUGGUGAGGUAAAAGCUCACCAAGCCGACGAUCUGUAGCUGGUCUGAGAGGACGACCAGCCACACUGGGACUGAGACACGGCCCAGACUCCUACGGGAGGCAGCAGUGGGGAAUUUUGGACAAUGGGCGCAAGCCUGAUCCAGCAAUGCCGCGUGCAGGAUGAAGGCCUUCGGGUUGUAAACUGCUUUUGUACAGGAAGAAACCCUUUCACGUGUGGAAGAUUGACGGUACUGUAAGAAUAAGGAUCGGCUAACUCCGUG